RNAcentral lists this ribosomal RNA (552 nucleotides) under uncultured bacterium. RNAcentral's name for it is "bacterial SSU rRNA". It matches the Rfam family "Bacterial small subunit ribosomal RNA", at positions 348 to 916 of the family's 1533-position model. The record is from RNAcentral.
GCAGCAGUGGGGAAUAUUGGGCAAUGGGAGGAAUCCUGACCCAGCGACGCCGCGUGAACGAAGACGGCCUUCGGGUUGUAAAGUUCUUUUAUGUGGGAAGAAUUAAGUGACGGUACCACAUGAAUAAGCCCCGGCUAACUACGUGCCAGCAGCCGCGGUAAUACGUAGGGGGCGAGCGUUGUCCGGAAUUACUGGGCGUAAAGGGCACGCAGGCUGUGCUUCAAGUCAGCUGUAAAAGGAUGCGGCUUAACCGUGUUAUGCAGUUGAGACUGAGGUGCUGGAGUACCGGAGAGGCAAGUGGAAUUCCCAGUGUAGCGGUGAAAUGCGUAGAUAUUGGGAAGAACAUCGGUGGCGAAGGCGACUUGCUGGACGGUAACUGACGCUGAGGUGCGAAAGCCAGGGUAGCGAACGGGAUUAGAUACCCCGGUAGUCCUGGCCGUAAACGAUGAAUGCUAGGUGUGCGAGCAGAGAUGUUGGUGUGCCGCAGUUAACGCGAUAAGCAUUCCGCCUGGGGAGUACGGUCGCAAGAUUGAAACUCAAAUGAAUUGACGG